GACGAACGCUGGCGGCGUGCUUAACACAUGCAAGUCGAACGGAAAGGCCCUGCUUUUGUGGGGUGCUCGAGUGGCGAACGGGUGAGUAACACGUGAGUAACCUGCCCUUGACUUUGGGAUAACUUCAGGAAACUGGGGCUAAUACCGGAUAGGAGCUCCUGCUGCAUGGUGGGGGUUGGAAAGUUUCGGCGGUUGGGGAUGGACUCGCGGCUUAUCAGCUUGUUGGUGGGGUAGUGGCUUACCAAGGCUUUGACGGGUAGCCGGCCUGAGAGGGUGACCGGCCACAUUGGGACUGAGAUACGGCCCAGACUCCUACGGGAGGCAGCAGUGUGGAAUAUUGCACAGUGGGCGGAAGCCUGAUGCAGCAACGCCGCGUGCGGGAUGACGGCCUUCGGGUUGUAAACCGCUUUCGCCUGUGACGAAGCGUGAGUGACGGUAAUGGGUAAAGAAGCAGCGGCUAACUACGUG
RNAcentral lists this ribosomal RNA (468 nucleotides) under uncultured bacterium. Its description in RNAcentral is "partial 16S ribosomal RNA". It matches the Rfam family "Bacterial small subunit ribosomal RNA", at positions 28 to 507 of the family's 1533-position model. The record is from RNAcentral.